Molecule: ribosomal RNA, 253 nt
Filed under: uncultured prokaryote
Description: partial 16S ribosomal RNA
Rfam family: Bacterial small subunit ribosomal RNA
Source: RNAcentral
ACGUAGGGUGCGAGCGUUAAUCGGAAUCACUGGGCGUAAAGGGCGCGUAGGUGGCGGCAUAAGGCUGUGGUGAAAGUCUGGGGCUCAACUCCAGAUCGGCCGCGGCGACUGUGUCGCUUGGGCACCGUAGAGGCAGAUGGAAUUCCGGGUGUAGCGGUGGAAUGCGUAGAGAUCCGGAAGAACACCGGUGGCGAAGGCGGCCUGCUGGGCAGUUACUGACACUGAGGCGCGACAGCGUGGGGAGCAAACAGGA